AUUGAACGCUGGCGGAAUGCUUUAUACAUGCAAGUCGAACGGCAGCACGGACUUCGGUCUGGUGGCGAGUGGUGAACGGGUGAGUAAUACAUCGGAACGUGCCCAGUCGUGGGGGAUAACGUAGCGAAAGCUACGCUAAUACCGCAUACGAUCUAAGGAUGAAAGCGGGGGAUCGCAAGACCUCGCGCGAUUGGAGCGGCCGAUGGCAGAUUAGGUAGUUGGUAGGGUAAAGGCCUACCAAGCCGACGAUCUGUAGCUGGUCUGAGAGGAUGAUCAGCCACACUGGGACUGAGACACGGCCCAGACUCCUACGGGAGGCAGCAGUGGGGAAUUUUGGACAAUGGGCGCAAGCCUGAUCCAGCCAUUCCGCGUGCAGGAUGAAGGCCUUCGGGUUGUAAACUGCUUUUGUACAGAACGAAAAGGCUCUGGUUAAUACCCGGGGCUCAUGACGGUACUGUAAGAAUAAGCACCGGCUAACUACGUGCCAGCCGCCGCCGUAA
Molecule: ribosomal RNA, 500 nt
Filed under: uncultured bacterium
Lineage: Bacteria
Description: partial 16S ribosomal RNA
Rfam family: Bacterial small subunit ribosomal RNA
Source: RNAcentral